Molecule: non-coding RNA, 119 nt
Organism: Brassica napus (rape)
Lineage: Eukaryota; Viridiplantae; Streptophyta; Magnoliopsida; Brassicales; Brassicaceae
Source: Rfam
GAGUGUAAUCACAUCAGCACUAAUACACCGGAUCACAUUGGAAAUCCGCAAGUAAACAUGUUGAAACAAGAAUAGUGUUAGGAUAGAUGACCUCUCGGGAAGUUUUUAUGUUGCCCCGA